AUGGGUACCAGUUUACACUAAGUAAAAUGAUAUUCACAUUCUAAAUAACUAAUUCAAAUAUUUAGCCAUGAUUAGAUUGUUUUCAUAGAAUGCAUCAAACUGAGAUAGAUUGGAGAUAAAUUUUCCAUCGAUGUCGAACAUACCCAAAAGUUGAUGGAUCCUAAAAAAAUUGCAAGUGUAACUAUAGCUUAGUUUAUGUAACCACAGGUAAUCGUAGCAAAGGAAUGCCUACAGGUGAAAAGGAUGUCAAACAGUUAUGAGAUCACUCUAGAUAGCCCCCAUUAGCAAUAUGUUGAUUAGGGCUUGAAGAAACGCUUGAACUCGCAAUGUUGACAUUUGUAGCACCUUUCAAAGGAUCCACAUUUGCUUUGCAAAUUUUCUUUACUUCCUCUUGGGCCUAUUUAAUUAGAAGACCGUUAACAUUAGUUUCCCUCACACCAAAGCUUCCGAACUUGUGAUAAAGUUGCCUAUUCCUACAUAAUAAGCAUUAGAAUUAUGGGACGAAAAAAGGCAUAAAACCAAAUUAUCCACUCAAGAACUGAAUCAUGGGGAGAAAUCAAGUGAUAUAAAAGUGUAUUUGAGAAAAUUACCAGAUAAGUAAUAGCAUCUUACAAAUGUUUGAAAUAAAUACAUCCAAUGAAGUUUAUUCCUGAUUUAGACUACAAUAAACACAAAAGCUUCACACCAAGUAGAUGUACAACUUACUUGCAUAAGAUCGAUUUGCCUUAUAAAGAGUAACAUAAAUUAUAAACUAUAAACAAAAGAUUGGGUUGCUGGACUCUUAGAAUAAAAGAGAGCAACAAAGCCCAUGAAUUAGUGCUUAAUAAAGAUCUUGAACAUUGAGAAAUCAAGGGGUCAAAUCCCCUGCAUAAUAAGUACAAGAUCCAGUUACUAUGAACACGAGGCUUGAAGAUCUAUUUCACAGCUGUAAUAAUGAACUUAGAGCACUUAUCUUAUACAUCUUUCUCUUUACUUUCAUUAACAAUUAUUAAAUUAAAAUGAAUUUGGUUGUCUCACCUUUAAAAACUUAAUGGUUUUUUCAUUAGCGGAGAAAAACGGCACCAUUAAAUACCAAAAAUUAACAUACAACUAAACUUGCUUCCAAGAAAUGGUUCCUUGUAAGAAAUUUUAAAAAACAAAAUUUGAGGCCUACGUUGUUAAUCAAUUUUCUACAAAUUGAAAAAGGAAAAAGAAAUAGAACCAAGAAAACAUGUUGGACUUUUUGAUAUCAAAUAAAUCCCGGGCUAUGAUGUUAACGCGGGUUAAUAUUAUUUUAUAGGCAUAGACUGAUGAAUGAAAUAAGUUCAAUAACCAAGUUCAUAAGCUACACCCUGCCCAAUUGUAUUCUCUCUUGGAUGGCUUGAAUCUUGGCCCGUUUAAGCCUCUUAAAGGUCCAACUUGAAGCCUAACCCUAAGCGUAUAUAUAUGGCUAUAAACCUAGCCACUUUCUUGUGAUGUUUUGUGUGGUUUUGUGAGAAAAAUAAAGGAAUCCCGGCUGUCCCCUUUGUGUGUGAAAAAGCAACCUCUAGAAAUGUCCAAAAUGCUAGUUUACUUUGUAUAAUUGGUGGUUCCUUCAUAGUAUACCUUUGUGGUGUCUUCUUAUAGGCUUUGUGGCCACAAAUCAUCAUCUUUUCUCGUCCUAUGUGGGUAAGAUUGAAUAGCAACUGAGGUGAAUUAGAUUGGCUGUGGUUUGGAGCCAAUUGGAUUGGUUGUUGGUAGAGAAAGAUACGUUGAACUAAGCCCGAAAAUCAUCGAUUUGAAGAUCAUUUGAGAGAGCUUCCACAACAAAUCAUAUACAAAAUAGACAGCUCCACCCACCAGGAGCACAGCUUUAACUUUUUGCUCUCAGUCACACGAUCUCCUCAGCUGUCUAAACCACUAUUAUCAUGAAUCCCACCAAAACCAUCUCAAAAAAUGAGUCAUCUGCAAUUAGGAGUUGCAUAGAUCGAGCCCAAACCCAUAACCAAAGAACUUGAUUUGAACCGACUCUAUCUAGUCUAAUUCCUAUUAUUUUUCGUGGAUUAUUCGUAACUGCAUAUACGAAGGAAGAAGAUCUAGCAUCCACCCUCCACUUUAUCUCUGGAUUAGCUAGCAGAUUAGGGUAAAAACAAAGCAUUUGAUGCAAGAGGAGGGAGAAGUUUUGGGAGAGUCAAUAGCUAGGGUAGUUGGAAGAAAUGUGUAAAAUUAAUAUAAGGAAAAAAAAACAAUAGUCAAACCAGUAAAUCCAAAAAAAAGGCAUGCGUUCCUAUAAACAGUGCCAAGAUGAAGUCCCUCUUUUAAUAUAUAUAUAUAUAUAUAUAUAGGGAUAUGUUUUUCAUUCAAUGGAAAUUUCAUAUAACCUUUGGGUUUUGACCAUAAUUACUUGACUGAAUAAUUUUGAGAUCCUGAAAACUUUUAUCUUGGUUUUCGAGUGACCGAACCUUUGAUGUUGUUUAAAUAGGAAGCAUUUUCUACAAUAUUCUCCAGACGUGUUGAACAAUAACUAUGAAAAAUUGAUCCAGCGUGACAGGCUUGUUUAUAAUUUGAGCCAACAACUCGAGAUAGUUAUAGAUUCACCAGAACAUGCUUCUACUUUUGAAAAUCCAAAAGAAUCCAGAGGUCGUGAAUUUGAUCGAGUGGCUGUCACUCAAGGAUAUUCUCCCUCUAGCUUCCAGGAUGUAGAAUUAACAGCAGUCACACAAUCACCUCCUUUAAGUUUCGGACAAAAUCUUAAUCAUCUGACUGCUGAACACGUGCCUGAAGAAACCUUGUCCUCUAGCUCUGGUCCAAUAUCAUUCAUCUUCAUUGUGAAUACAACAAUUUACUUAUCAACUUUUCUCCAUAUAGGAUGCAUUGCUGAAUGUUGAUCUUGCAAAUUAUUUAGCUGUAGUCGUAAUUUUGAACUCAUUUUCAACCAAAAUUUGAUAAUUGCAUUAUCUACUGUUACUAGUGAUGGCUAUUGUUGCAAUUGAACGGAUGGAAAUUGUGAGGAGCAUGGUUAUUUUGGAGCAAAGAAGCUGGGAACAACUGAAGGUUCAAGAUCUCCAUCCAUCUAUGUGGAUUUCUGAUCUAGAAAACAACAUUGGAAACUAUAUUUCAGAACAAACUACUGGAUUUGGGCCUUCAGACAAGACAUCAGAGUUUUGGGAUGUAAUGUAAAACAUUAAACAAGAUUUACUUAGUGACACCCAAAGCACGACCAUUUUGGACGAGAAAUCUCUAUUGAAAAAGGUAGAUUCUCUCUCCUUUCUCUUGCAAGAUCCUGCCACAGGUUCCUGUGCAAAAGUGGGAAAAGAAAAUUACGAUGAAAGUGCUAACUAUAGAAUAUAUGUUGCAUCUAAUCUCGCAAAUGAUUCAAUGAUGCAUGAAAAUAGCAGUGACGAUAUAUUUGCCUCUUUAAGAAAUCUAUAGGUCUGGUUUCGUUUGAUUGCCCAUGUCAACUUGCAGAUUUAUGAACUCACAAUUCAGGCACUAAUGUAUGUAUUCAGCCACGCUUCAAGGCUCAAAAUCUUGGAGAGAAGUCAUAACAAAUAAGCAAUUUCAAAUAUACAAGAAAAUCACAGAAAUAUACUAGUAGAGAAAAUUCAUAGCGAAUGUUUAAGUGCGUUUAGAAUGGGUACCAGUUGACAAUAAUUAAAAAUGAUAUUCACAUUCUAAAUAACUAAUUUAAAUAAUCAGUCGUGAUUAGAUUAUUUUCAUACAAUACAUCAAACUGAGAGAGAGUGGACAUAAAUUUUUCACUGAUGUCGAACACACCCAAAAAUUGAUGGAUCCUAAAAAAAUUGCAAACGUAACUACGGCUUAGUUUAAGUACAGCUACCAUUGUAAUCGUAGCAAGGGAAUGCCUACAGGUGAAAAGGAUGUGUUAAUUUUCAAACAGUUAUGAGAUCACUCUAGAUAGCCACCAUUAGCAAUAUGUCGAUUAGGGCUUGAAGAAAUGCUUGAACUGGCAACGUUGCCAUUUGUAGCACCUUUCAAAGGAUCCACAUUUGCUUCACAAAUUUUCUUUGCUUUCUCUUAGGCGUACUUAAUUAAAAGACCAUUAGCAUUAGUUUCCUUCUCACCGAAGCUUCCGAAUUUGCGAAGAAUUGGCCUAUUCCUAUAUACUAAGCAUUAAAAUUAUGGGGCAGACAAAGACAUAAAAAAUAAUUAUCCACUCAAGAACUGAAACCUGGUAAGAAGUCAAGUUAUAUAAAAUCGUAUUUAAGAAAAUCACCUGAUAAGUAAUACCAUCUUACAAAUACUUGAAGUAAAUACAUCCAAUGAAGUUUUUUCCUAAUUUAGACUACAAUAAACACAACAGCUUCAUACCAAGCAGAUGUACAACUUACUUGCAUAAGAUAAAUUUGCCUUAUGAAGAGAAACAUAAACCAUAAAGUACAAACAAAAGAUUAGGUUGCUGGACUCGUAGAAUAAAAGAGAACAACAAAGCCCAUGAAUUAGUGCAUAUAAGAUGUUGGAAGAAAAGAAAAAAGAAAAAUCCGGAGAAGAAAGAUCAUGAGCAUUGAGAAAUCAAGGCAUCAUAUCCCCUACAUAAUAAGUAAAAGACCCAGAUACUAUGAACGCGAGGCUCGAAGUUCUAUUUCACAGCUGUAACAAUGAACUUAGAACACUUAAGUUUACUUCCAUCUACAUUGAUUAAAUAAAAAUGAAAUUGGUAAUCUCACAUUUAAAAACUUAAUGGUUUUUUCAUUAGGGAAGAGAGAGUGCACCAUUAAAUACCAAAAAUUAACAUUCAACCAAACAUGCUUCCAAGAAAUGGUUCCUUGUAAGAAAAUUUUAAAAAACAAAAUUUGAGGCCUUCGUUAUUAAUCAAUUUUCUGCAAAAUUAAAAAAGGAAGAAGAAAUAGAACCAAGAAAACAAACACAAAACAGACAGCUCCAUCCACCACAAACACAGCUUUGACUUUCUACCCUCAGUCACACAAUCUCCUCAGCUGUCUAAACCACCAUUUUCAUGAAUCCUACCAAAACGUUCGCAAAUAUGUGGCAGCUGCAAUUGGGAUUGCAUAGAUCCACCGAACCCAAACCCGUAACCAAAGAACUCGAUGUGAACCGGUUGAAGACUUUGUCUAGUCUAAUUCCUAUUACUUUCCAUGAAUUAUUCGUAACUACAUCUAUGGUGGAAGAAGAUCUAGCAUCCGCUGCCUACUUUAUCUCUGAAUUAGUGGGCAGAUUAGGGCAAAAACAAAGGAUGUGACGCAAGAGGAGGGAGAAGUUUCGGGAGAGUCGACUGCUAGGGUUCGUCGGAAAAAAUGUGUAAAAAGAGUAUAAGAAAGGAAAAAAUUAAAAAUAGUCAAACCGGUAAAUCCCAAAAAAAAAAAAAAAAAAAAAAAAAGGCAUGCAUUCCUAUAUAUAACCAGUGCCAAGAUGAAGUCCCUCUUUUAAUAUAUAGAGAUAUGUUUUUCAUUCAAUGGAAAUUUCAUGUUAAAACCUCUGGGCAUGGACUAUAGUCCUUAUAUUUACUUGACUCAACAAUUUUGAGAUCCUGAAAACAUUGGUCCUGGUUUUUAAGUGACCAAACCUUUGAUGUUG
RNAcentral lists this long non-coding RNA (5514 nucleotides) under Olea europaea subsp. europaea. Lineage: Eukaryota; Viridiplantae; Streptophyta; Magnoliopsida; Lamiales; Oleaceae. The record is from RNAcentral.